This is a ribosomal RNA of Cercocebus atys (sooty mangabey), 123 nucleotides long. The record is from Ensembl. NCBI's taxonomy places the organism in Eukaryota, Metazoa, Chordata, Mammalia, Primates, Cercopithecidae.
GCCUAUGGCCAUACCACCCUGAACGUGCUGAAUCUCGGAAGCUAAGCAGGGUUGGGCCUGGCUGGUACUUGGAUGGGAGAAAGCAAAAAUAUGAAGUUUUAGAACAGCCGGGCGCGGUGGCUC